This 406-nucleotide ribosomal RNA is filed under the name uncultured bacterium. Its description in RNAcentral is "partial 16S ribosomal RNA". It matches the Rfam family "Bacterial small subunit ribosomal RNA", at positions 30 to 526 of the family's 1533-position model. The record is from RNAcentral.
AUUGAACGCUGGCGGCAGGCCUAACACAUGCAAGUCGAACGAGUGGCGGACGGGUGAGUAAUGUCUGGGAAACUGCCCGAUGGAGGGGGAUAACUACUGGAAACGGUAGCUAAUACCGCAUACCAUCGGAUGUGCCCAGAUGGGAUUAGCUAGUAGGUGGGGUAACGGCUCACCUAGGCGACGAUCCCUAGCUGGUCUGAGAGGAUGACCACCCACGCUGGAACUGAGACACGGUCCAGACUCCUACUCAGAUCAUCAGGAUAAACUAUUGCACAAUGGGCGCAAGCCUGAUCCAGCCAUGCCGCGUGUAUGAAGAAGGCCUUCGGGUUGUAAAGUACUUUCAGCGAGGAGGCGUUACUCGCAGAAGAAGCACCGGCUAACUCCGUGCCAGCAGCCGCGGUAAUUC